RNAcentral lists this ribosomal RNA (253 nucleotides) under uncultured bacterium. RNAcentral's name for it is "partial 16S ribosomal RNA". It matches the Rfam family "Bacterial small subunit ribosomal RNA", at positions 524 to 776 of the family's 1533-position model. The record is from RNAcentral.
UACGAAGGGGGCUAGCGUUGUUCGGAAUUACUGGGCGUAAAGCGCACGUAGGCGGGUCGUUAAGUCAGGGGUGAAAUCUUGGAGCUUAACUCCGAAACUGCAUUCGAUACUGCCGUGCUUGAGGACUGGAGAGGAGACUGGAAUUUACGGUGUAGCGGUGAAAUGCGUAGAUAUCGUAAGGAAGACCAGUGGCGAAGGCGGGUCUCUGGACAGUUCCUGACGCUGAGGCACGAAGGCCAGGGGAGCAAACGGG